UCCUACGGGGGGCAGCAGUCGAGAAUCAUUCACAAUGGGGGAAACCCUGAUGGUGCGACGCCGCGUGGGGGAAUGAAGGUCUUCGGAUUGUAAACUGCUUUAGACAGGGAAGAAAAAAGACAGUACCUGUAGAAUAAGCUCCGGCUAACUACGUGCCAGCAGCCGCGGUAAUACGUAGGGAGCAAGCGUUAUCCGGAUUUAUUGGGUGUAAAGGGUGCGUAGACGGGAAUGCAAGUUGGUUGUGAAAUCCCUCGGCUUAACUGAGGAACUGCAACCAAAACUACAUUUCUUGAGUGCUGGAGAGG
RNAcentral lists this ribosomal RNA (305 nucleotides) under uncultured bacterium. RNAcentral describes it as "bacterial SSU rRNA". It matches the Rfam family "Bacterial small subunit ribosomal RNA", at positions 337 to 657 of the family's 1533-position model. The record is from RNAcentral.